Molecule: non-coding RNA, 171 nt
Filed under: Burkholderia sp. GAS332
Lineage: Bacteria; Pseudomonadati; Pseudomonadota; Betaproteobacteria; Burkholderiales; Burkholderiaceae
Source: RNAcentral
GUCGUCGCGAGGCGGGGUCUGAAGGAAGCGUGGAGCAAAGCCACGACCUGACGAACAGAAACCAGAUAUGAGGCCUACCCGGCCGGACGAGCGAGCCGAUGAUCGCGAAGUCCAUAACCAUCAAGGCCCGGGGUGGUAGAUCUGGCAGGCGUGUGGCGAAGGCGGUUGUGC